GCAAUUUUCUGAUCCACUCUUUUCUUGAAUGGCAGAGAAUGCUCACCUUAGGCCAUGUACGGUGGGUAGCUUGACGUUGUUGAGGCUCUUGAAUAUUGUUGAUCGAGUCAAUGGAUGUUUCCUGAUUGCUCUUAUGGUGAGGAUCAGGUACUUCUCUUCGACGAUGAUGUCGCCAACACAGCAGAUGUAGCUUGCGGAUCCCACGGCAUGACUCAGAUGCUGACGAUGAACCGGACUACCCGUUGUAAUCUGAACACCUAAAGAAGGAUGAUGUUCACGUCAGGGCAGGACUUGAGGGAGGGCGUGGUUGUUGGAGGACGCCGCCGCCGCCAUCGCGGAACUCUAGGGUCAGGGGGUGGUCUGCGGUCAGCAAGGACCGGCAAGGCCGUGUCAAUCGUUCCCUACAUCACGGAUCAUCACAGAUAUUUACAUUCUGUUCGUUUUCUGAAUUUUUCUGUUCAUUUCUGUAUUUCCUGAUCGUUUGUAUGCUUCACCUGUCAUGAACAUCGUUUCUUGCAGCGAGGAGCGGCGCAAGGCCGUGCCCUAUAUCAUCGAGCAUCACAGCGAGGAGCGGCGCAAGGCCGUGCCCUACAUCACCGAACAUCACAGGUACAUAGGUAUACAGAUACAAUGUGAGGGCGCUGGACGCACACUCAUUGAGAGGGACCUCUGCCAGGUACGCAAUGUUGUGUAAUGAAAGACCGUCUUGCUCGAUUGAUCCAUUGAGUUCGUAUGUUUAUUAAAAAAAUUGUACAUUGCGCGUGAUCGGGUGUUAAUUUUAUCUACACCUGUAAAAUGUGUGUUGUAUUA
Triticum dicoccoides is the source of this 810-nucleotide long non-coding RNA. RefSeq lists it as uncharacterized. The transcript is spliced from 5 exons. The record is from RefSeq and is a predicted model, not a curated record. NCBI's taxonomy places the organism in Eukaryota, Viridiplantae, Streptophyta, Magnoliopsida, Poales, Poaceae.